GACGAACGCUGGCGGCGUGCUUAACACAUGCAAGUCGAACGGGAAGGCCCUGCUUGCAGGGUACUCGAGUGGCGAACGGGUGAGUAACACGUGGGUGAUCUGCCCUGCACUUCGGGAUAAGCCUGGGAAACUGGGUCUAAUACCGGAUAGGAGCCAUUUUUAGUGUGAUGGUUGGAAAGUUUUUUCGGUGUAGGAUGAGCUCGCGGCCUAUCAGCUUGUUGGUGGGGUAAUGGCCUACCAAGGCGGCGACGGGUAGCCGGCCUGAGAGGGUGGACGGCCACAUUGGGACUGAGAUACGGCCCAGACGCCUACGGGUGGCAGCAGUGGGGAAUAUUGCACAAUUGGCGCAAGCCUGAUGCAGCGACGCCGCGUGGGGGAUGACGGCCUUCGGGUUGUAAACUCCUUUCGCUAGGGACGAAGCUUUUUGUGACGGUACCUAGAGAAGAAGCACCGGCUAACUACGUG
RNAcentral lists this ribosomal RNA (465 nucleotides) under uncultured bacterium. Its description in RNAcentral is "partial 16S ribosomal RNA". It matches the Rfam family "Bacterial small subunit ribosomal RNA", at positions 28 to 507 of the family's 1533-position model. The record is from RNAcentral.